Long non-coding RNA from Paramacrobiotus metropolitanus, 1128 nucleotides. RefSeq lists it as uncharacterized. The transcript is spliced from 2 exons. The record is from RefSeq and is a predicted model, not a curated record. NCBI's taxonomy places the organism in Eukaryota, Metazoa, Tardigrada, Eutardigrada, Parachela, Macrobiotidae.
GUAAACAAUUUUUGACUUAAGGUUUAACAGUAAUCUUAGCAUGAAGAUAAUCUUGAAACUUAUGAAAACCGAACCCAGUCUAUGGUUGACACUACAGAGAAACUUGGUAUCAAGUUAACAACUCUUUUAGAAUACAGAAACUCUGUUAGCCUCUGCGAUUGUAUCGCCUGUCGUGUUUGUGCCUGACAGUGCAAGCAUGUCCAACUCUCGUACAUUGACCAGAUCACCAAGUGUUCCUGUAGUGCCAAUCAUUUCGAAAGAUCGCCCAUCGAAUCUCUCCAAAAGGUCAUUUCCCGGAGCCAGUUACGGUCAGCGUGAGAGAAGGGUCUUGUUCAAUCGGGAAAUCAGCAUAACAGCUGAUCCAGCAGAUCCCGACAAUAUUGACAUUGAAGAGGCACCGCCCGAAUCAUUCGAUAUUCCGGAGCCCGCAGCCAGUACAGAUAGUCGCCGUCGGUCAAAAUCAUUUGUUUUUGAACUGGUACCGGUAGAUACAAAGGCACUGAAUAUUUUGUUAUGGGUUAUGCUUGCCACGCAUUUCACCGUGGCCAUAUUCGGAUCCGUUGUUUGGCGAGCCAUCGGGCCUACUUAUAUUGGAGCAGCCUUGGUUGUGUGGGAGUGGCUGAUGACAUUGACCGUAGUCGUCAUAAGCUAUGUGUUGUCACCAGUUCUCCAUAACCAGUCAUUUUGUCCAAUGGCUAACCUAACCUUGAAGCGCAAUUUAAUUCGACUACUAAUCAUCAAAAUCAUUUCCCUGUUACUGGCAGUGGGCGGUAUUGCCGACGGUGUCUUUGCCAUUUUCAGAGCUCAACUGGGAACAGCACCAAAGCCAUCAGAGACUUAUCAGACUUUUGAGAAAAACCGGGAAAUUCUCUUGGGCGCUUUCAAUACAGCGGUUGCAGUAAUUUCUUUUGGCGCGCAUGUAGUUUUAAGCAGGCAAACGGCACUUCAGUUUUAUAUUCAAGAGCAAAAGAAUACUGACAGAUCGUUUACAAGCUUGUGAGUGCUGUACACGUAUUUGGUUAUUCGAUCAGAACGGUGGUAUUUUUUGUUUUCCAAAUUGUACAUGUUUACGUGAGCUUUUUUAUGCACUUAUACGAUCUGGCUGACGAAUAAAAUCAAGUGCCAGAA